Molecule: ribosomal RNA, 554 nt
Filed under: uncultured bacterium
Lineage: Bacteria
Description: bacterial SSU rRNA
Rfam family: Bacterial small subunit ribosomal RNA
Source: RNAcentral
UAAUACGGAGGAUGCGAGCGUUAUCCGGAUUCAUUGGGUUUAAAGGGUGCGCAGGCGGCUCGGCAAGUCAGCGGUGAAAGCCCGGGGCCCAACCCCGGAAGUGCCGUUGAUACUGUCGGGCUGGAAUGCGGAUGCUGUGGGAGGAAUGAGUAGUGUAGCGGUGAAAUGCAUAGAUAUUACUCAGAACACCGAUUGCGAAGGCAUCUCACGAAACAGGCAUUGACGCUGAGGCACGAAAGCGUGGGGAUCAAACAGGAUUAGAUACCCUGGUAGUCCACGCAGUAAACGAUGAUGACUAACCGCUGGCGAUACAGUGUAGGUGGCCAAGCGAAAGCGAUAAGUCAUCCACCUGGGGAGUACGACCGCAAGGUUGAAACUCAAAGGAAUUGACGGGGGCCCGCACAAGCGGAGGAACAUGUGGUUUAAUUCGAAGCAACGCGAAGAACCUUACCAGGUCUUGACAUGCCCCUGACAGCUCCGUAAUGGGAGUCUUCCUUCGGGACAGGGGACACAGGUGGUGCAUGGUUGUCGUCAGCUCGUGUCGUGAGAUGUUG